UACAUCGAGCCGGGAUCGAACCGGCGACCUUCCGCGAGGCUUGGUGUGUAGAUCUUUGCAGGUCUUAUACACUGUUAGGCGGGCGCGCUACCGACUGCGCCAUCGAUGC
Molecule: transfer RNA, 109 nt
Filed under: Elsinoe australis
Lineage: Eukaryota; Fungi; Ascomycota; Dothideomycetes; Myriangiales; Elsinoaceae
Description: tRNA-Val
Source: RNAcentral